GACCUCGUAGCUCAGUUGGCAGAGCAUUGGACUAGUGUCCCAAAGGUCGCACGGGCUCGAUUCCCAUCGUGGUCA
This is a non-coding RNA of Paramuricea clavata, 75 nucleotides long. NCBI's taxonomy places the organism in Eukaryota, Metazoa, Cnidaria, Anthozoa, Malacalcyonacea, Plexauridae. The record is from the annotation of a GenBank genome assembly.